This 932-nucleotide ribosomal RNA is filed under the name Bacillus amyloliquefaciens. Its description in RNAcentral is "bacterial SSU rRNA". It matches the Rfam family "Bacterial small subunit ribosomal RNA", at positions 8 to 920 of the family's 1533-position model. The record is from RNAcentral. Lineage: Bacteria; Bacillati; Bacillota; Bacilli; Caryophanales; Bacillaceae.
GAGAGUUUGAUCCUGGCUCAGGACGAACGCUGGCGGCGUGCCUAAUACAUGCAAGUCGAGCGGACAGAUGGGAGCUUGCUCCCUGAUGUUAGCGGCGGACGGGUGAGUAACACGUGGGUAACCUGCCUGUAAGACUGGGAUAACUCCGGGAAACCGGGGCUAAUACCGGAUGGUUGUUUGAACCGCAUGGUUCAGACAUAAAAGGUGGCUUCGGCUACCACUUACAGAUGGACCCGCGGCGCAUUAGCUAGUUGGUGAGGUAACGGCUCACCAAGGCGACGAUGCGUAGCCGACCUGAGAGGGUGAUCGGCCACACUGGGACUGAGACACGGCCCAGACUCCUACGGGAGGCAGCAGUAGGGAAUCUUCCGCAAUGGACGAAAGUCUGACGGAGCAACGCCGCGUGAGUGAUGAAGGUUUUCGGAUCGUAAAGCUCUGUUGUUAGGGAAGAACAAGUGCCGUUCAAAUAGGGCGGCACCUUGACGGUACCUAACCAGAAAGCCACGGCUAACUACGUGCCAGCAGCCGCGGUAAUACGUAGGUGGCAAGCGUUGUCCGGAAUUAUUGGGCGUAAAGGGCUCGCAGGCGGUUUCUUAAGUCUGGUGUGAAAGCCCCCGGCUCAACCGGGGAGGGUCAUCGGAAACUGGGGAACUUGAGUGCAGAAGAGGAGAGUGGAAUUCCACGUGUAGCGGUGAAAUGCGUAGAGAUGUGGAGGAACACCAGUGGCGAAGGCGACUCUCUGGUCUGUAACUGACGCUGAGGAGCGAAAGCGUGGGGAGCGAACAGGAUUAGAUACCCUGGUAGUCCACGCCGUAAACGAUGAGUGCUAAGUGUUAGGGGGUUUCCGCCCCUUAGUGCUGCAGCUAACGCGUUAAGCACUCCGCCUGGGGAGUACGGUCGCAAGACUGAAACUCAAAGGAAUUGACGGGGGA